Molecule: ribosomal RNA, 446 nt
Filed under: uncultured bacterium
Lineage: Bacteria
Description: partial 16S ribosomal RNA
Rfam family: Bacterial small subunit ribosomal RNA
Source: RNAcentral
GUAAGGAAUAUUGGUCAAUGGGGGCAACCCUGAACCAGCCAUGCCGCGUGAAGGAUGAAGGCGUUAUGCGUUGUAAACUUCUUUUGUAUGGGAAGAAUGACAGGGAUUCAUCCUUGGAGAGACGGUACCAUACGAAUAAGCACCGGCUAACUCCGUGCCAGCAGCCGCGGUAAUACGGAGGGUGCAAGCGUUAUCCGGAAUCACUGGGUUUAAAGGGUACGUAGGCGGUUAAUUAAGUCAGUAGUGAAAAACUGUCGCUCAACGACGGAUGUGCUAUUGAUACUGGUUAACUUGAAGCAGGUUAGAGUUGGCGGAAUGGGUCAUGUAGCGGUGAAAUGCUUAGAUAUGACUUGGAACACCGAUAGCGAGGGCAGCUGACUGAGCCUUGAUUGACGCUGAGGUACGAGAGUGUGGGUAGCGAACAGGAUUAGAAACCCGGGUAGUCC